This 429-nucleotide ribosomal RNA is filed under the name Acidobacteriota bacterium. Its description in RNAcentral is "Acidobacteria bacterium partial 16S ribosomal RNA". It matches the Rfam family "Bacterial small subunit ribosomal RNA", at positions 355 to 776 of the family's 1533-position model. Lineage: Bacteria; Pseudomonadati; Acidobacteriota. The record is from RNAcentral.
UGGGGAAUUUUGGACAAUGGGGGAAACCCUGAUCCAGCCAUCCCGCGUGUGCGAUGAAGGCCUUCGGGUUGUAAAGCACUUUUGGCAGGAAAGAAACGUCAUGGGUUAAUACCCCGUGAAACUGACGGUACCUGCAGAAUAAGCACCGGCUAACUACGUGCCAGCAGCCGCGGUAAUACGUAGGGUGCAAGCGUUAAUCGGAAUUACUGGGCGUAAAGCGUGCGCAGGCGGUUCGGAAAGAAAGAUGUGAAAUCCCAGAGCUCAACUUUGGAACUGCAUUUUUAACUACCGGGCUAGAGGGUGUCAGAGGGAGGUGGAAUUCCGCGUGUAGCAGUGAAAUGCGUAGAUAUGCGGAGGAACACCGAUGGCGAAGGCAGCCUCCUGGGAUAACACUGAGGCUCAUGCACGAAAGCGUGGGGAGCAAACAGG